This 484-nucleotide ribosomal RNA is filed under the name uncultured bacterium. Its description in RNAcentral is "partial 16S ribosomal RNA". It matches the Rfam family "Bacterial small subunit ribosomal RNA", at positions 355 to 831 of the family's 1533-position model. The record is from RNAcentral.
UAGGGAAUCUUCGGCAAUGGGGGCAACCCUGACCGAGCAACGCCGCGUGAGUGAAGAAGGUUUUCGGAUCGUAAAGCNCUGUUGUAAGUCAAGAACGGGUGUGAGAGUGGAAAGUUCACACUGUGACGGUAGCUUACCAGAAAGGGACGGCUAACUACGUGCCAGCAGCCGCGGUAAUACGUAGGUCCCGAGCGUUGUCCGGAUUUAUUGGGCGUAAAGCGAGCGCAGGCGGUUUGAUAAGUCUGAAGUUAAAGGCUGUGGCUCAACCAUAGUCGCUUUGGAAACUGUCAAACUUGAGUGCAGAAGGGGAGAGUGGAAUUCCAUGUGUAGCGGUGAAAUGCGUAGAUAUAUGGAGGAACACCGGUGGCGAAAGCGGCUCUCUGGUCUGUAACUGACGCUGAGGCUCGAAAGCGUGGGGAGCGAACAGGAUUAGGAUACCCUGGUAGUCCACGCCGUAAACGAUGAGUGCUAGGUGUUGGAUCCU